Molecule: transfer RNA, 73 nt
Filed under: Stegodyphus mimosarum
Lineage: Eukaryota; Metazoa; Arthropoda; Arachnida; Araneae; Eresidae
Rfam family: tRNA
About the family: Transfer RNA (tRNA) molecules are approximately 80 nucleotides in length.
Source: Rfam by way of RNAcentral
GCCUUCGUGGUGUAGUGGCCAGCAUGCUUGCUGCGUAUUAGAGAAGUCUGUGGUUCGAGUCCCGGCGAAGGUA